Molecule: unclassified non-coding RNA, 888 nt
Filed under: Bradyrhizobium sp. 51-1-3
Lineage: Bacteria; Pseudomonadati; Pseudomonadota; Alphaproteobacteria; Hyphomicrobiales; Nitrobacteraceae
Description: partial 16S-23S ribosomal RNA intergenic spacer
Rfam family: tRNA (bases 178-251)
Source: RNAcentral
UAUCGGAUCGUUUUAGAAACAUUCAGGGGCCAACAGUUUCAGGAUUGUUGAGCUCCAUUGGCGGGAUUUCGCCGUCUUCGUUUCUCUUUCUUCGCGGACGAACACGCGCCAGGGGCUGAGCGCUGUGCGAUGCAUCGACUUCACGUCAGGUGCGCGCCGGCAUGUCUCUCGUGUUAGGGGCUUGUAGCUCAGUUGGUUAGAGCGCGCGCUUGAUAAGCGUGAGGUCGGAAGUUCAAGUCUUCCCAGGCCCACCAUUUUGAUCGAGUGCGGAGCAUUCGUCUUCUGGUACGGGGCCAUAGCUCAGCUGGGAGAGCGCGUGCUUUGCAAGCAUGAGGUCGUCGGUUCGAUCCCGUCUGGCUCCACCAGAUGGAAUUGAAGCUCGAGGAUGCGCCUUGUGCAGCUAGCUCUGUUCAUUUCGUCCGCGAAACAUCACUUCGCACUCAUUGGUCCGGAUGGACGAUGACGUGCGUGUUUUCUGACAUCGUAAAGAGGAGAUCGAUCCGAGUUUGGAUCCAGCGAAGCAAUUCGCGGGUACCAUUCCUAAUCUCCAGAUCGUUUUCGGCGCUCGCGCAUCGCAGUUCAUCGCAAGAUGAGUGAGAUGAGCGAGUUGUAAAACGAUCUUUGUAGCGAAGCUUGACCGCCUCGCUAUCGGGCCGAUCUUACGAAGCAAGCUGGUCUUUCUAGUCAAUGUCCGGCUGCGCGAUAGCACUCAUCGAGGGUGCGCGCCUUAACCGGCAGUUGCGCAGACAACAUUCUGCCGAGUGUGUGGACAUUGAUAAUGAGAGCAAUCAAGUGCCUUAAGGGUGUUCGGUGGAUGCCUUGGCGCUGAGAGGCGAUGAAGGACGUGCUACGCUGCGAUAAGCCGUGGGGAGCUGCGAAGAAGCUUUG